AGUGAACGCUGGCGGUAGGCCUAACACAUGCGAGUCGAACGGCAGCACAGUAAGAGCUUGCUCUUACGGGUGGCGAGUGGCGGACGGGUGAGGAAUACAUCGGAAUCUACUUUUUCGUGGGGGAUACGUAGGGAAACUUACGCUAAUACCGCAUACGACCUACGGGUGAAAGCAGGGGAUCUUCGGACCUUGCGCGAUUGAAUGAGCCGAUGUCGGAUUAGCUAGUUGGCGGGGUAAAGGCCCACCAAGGCGACGAUCCGUAGCUGGUCUGAGAGGAUGAUCAGCCACACUGGAACUGAGACACGGUCCAGACUCCUACGGGAGGCAGCAGUGGGGAAUAUUGGACAAUGGGCGCAAGCCUGAUCCAGCCAUACCGCGUGGGUGAAGAAGGCCUUCGGGUUGUAAAGCCCUUUUGUUGGGAAAGAAAAGCAGCAGGUUAAUACCCCGCUGUUCUGACGGUACCCAAAGAAUAAGCACCGGCUAACUUCGUG
RNAcentral lists this ribosomal RNA (491 nucleotides) under uncultured bacterium. Its description in RNAcentral is "partial 16S ribosomal RNA". It matches the Rfam family "Bacterial small subunit ribosomal RNA", at positions 29 to 507 of the family's 1533-position model. The record is from RNAcentral.